RNAcentral lists this ribosomal RNA (492 nucleotides) under uncultured bacterium. RNAcentral's name for it is "partial 16S ribosomal RNA". It matches the Rfam family "Bacterial small subunit ribosomal RNA", at positions 29 to 507 of the family's 1533-position model. The record is from RNAcentral.
AGUGAACGCUGGCGGUAGGCCUAACACAUGCAAGUCGAACGGCAGCACAGUAAGAGCUUGCUCUUACGGGUGGCGAGUGGCGGACGGGUGAGGAAUACAUCGGAAUCUACUUUUUCGUGGGGGAUAACGUAGGGAAACUUACGCUAAUACCGCAUACGACCUACGGGUGAAAGCAGGGGAUCUUCGGACCUUGCGCGAUUGAAUGAGCCGAUGUCGGAUUAGCUAGUUGGCGGGGUAAAGGCCCACCAAGGCGACGAUCCGUAGCUGGUCUGAGAGGAUGAUCAGCGACACUGGAACUGAGACACGGUCCAGACUCCUACGGGAGGCAGCAGUGGGGAAUAUUGGACAAUGGGGGCAAGCCUGAUCCAGCCAUACCGCGUGGGUGAAGAAGGCCUUCGGGUUGUAAAGCCCUUUUGUUGGGAAAGAAAAGCAGCAGGUUAAUACCCCGCUGUUCUGACGGUACCCAAAGAAUAAGCACCGGCUAACUUCGUG